Octopus bimaculoides (California two-spot octopus) is the source of this 1071-nucleotide long non-coding RNA. Lineage: Eukaryota; Metazoa; Mollusca; Cephalopoda; Octopoda; Octopodidae. The record is from RefSeq and is a predicted model, not a curated record.
ACAGAAAUAGAAAAAGAAAAGGAAAAGAAAGAAAAUUUUUAGCAAUGCAGAAAGUUUUACAAAACCUUUAUACAUCAGGCACAAAGGUCUAUCUGCAGAAGGAUGUAGUCCAAGAAAUGUCUAGUUAUCUGGGUAGCACCGUUAGUAACAAUGGCGAUAUUGAGACUAACAUCAACCAUGGAUUCGCAAAGCCGCGACUCUGUUCUAGAGAAUGUGCACUGUAUAGUCAACCGACACCUGCUUUACAAAUGUCUGGCUCUAUAACAGUAUAGUAUAACCAACAGUUCUCUAUGUCAGUGAGACACGGAAGAGCACGGUGAAAGUAAACAGAAAGCUAGAUGUUUUUCAUCGAAGAUUCUUCAAAGAUACUUCAGAAGGAUUCUAACAACCUUCUGGCAAGAUUAUGUAAACAAUGAUGACAUUUAAAGAGAACCAGCGCAAGACCACUCAGAGAAGUUAUUGCAUAACGAAGACUAGCAGGUCACACACCUCCGUUACCAGAACAACGUCAUUCUAAAACAGCUUUCAAAUGGACACCACCAAAGGGGAGAAAAUAGAGGUAGAUAGGAAAGUACAUGCGCAGAAAAAUUCAUAACCGACAUGAGAAAGGCUAAUAUCACAUAGCCGGAUGUAGAGGACACCAGAAGCCAGUGGAGUGAUUUGCCGCCCAAUGUGCUCUAGAUACAAAAGUGAUACAUCCUGGUUCUGACGUGGCUCUGAACUGUCUAUCAGGACAAUCCUUCCUGCUGAUAACAUCAUAUCAUGUCUCAUGGAGAGGCAACAAUUAUGCACAUUUAUACAGGUUUUUGAAUAGCUGCUGCUGAUAUGGCUGGAAUCUUCCACACUGAUCUGUUUCAAAAGAAGUUAAAUAGAAUCAGCGUGUGUUUAUUAUUGGCAUAAUGACCCUUCCGAGAUACAACAACAUCUGUUUCAACAUACGAGUUCACGUCAAGAAGCUUACAAACCAAAUACAAAAGAAAAAAAUAACAAUAAGCGUUUUCUAAUAUAUAUAUAUAUGCAAUAUAUAUGUAUAUAUAUAUAAAUGCAUAAUGCAAAGGUGGAAGAAAAAGA